GUGUUCGCUUUGGCAACUCAUAUACUCAAAUUGGAAUAAUACAGAGAUUAACAUGGCCCUUGACCAAGUAUGACAUGCAGAUUUGUGAAGUGUUUCAUAUUUUU
This is a small nuclear RNA of Equus asinus (donkey), 104 nucleotides long. The record is from Ensembl. Lineage: Eukaryota; Metazoa; Chordata; Mammalia; Perissodactyla; Equidae.